UUGUUAAUGCUAAUCGUGAUAGGGGUUUUUCUCUUUUAUUUCUGACUGACUCCUACAUGUUAGCAUUAACAG
This is a non-coding RNA of Sarcophilus harrisii (Tasmanian devil), 72 nucleotides long. The record is from Rfam. Lineage: Eukaryota; Metazoa; Chordata; Mammalia; Dasyuromorphia; Dasyuridae.